RNAcentral lists this small RNA (158 nucleotides) under Lonchura striata (white-rumped munia). RNAcentral's name for it is "domestica (Bengalese finch) TUC338 (ENSLSDG00000000089.1)". The record is from RNAcentral. Lineage: Eukaryota; Metazoa; Chordata; Aves; Passeriformes; Estrildidae.
CUGCCAGAUGUGGAGAGUUCUGUGUGUCCACAAGACAGGUAGAAAACAGCCAGUAGCAAUGCUGGCCUGCCUACACUGCCCUCUCCAUGGUCUUCACCCCAGGCAGCCACCUCUCAGGAUGAGAGUUUAACUUCCAGACCACUUAGAAUCUGGUCUCU